GACGAACGCUGGCGGCGUGCCUAAUACAUGCAAGUAGAACGCACAGUUUAUACCGUAGCUUGCUACACCAUAGACUGUGAGUUGCGAACGGGUGAGUAACGCGUAGGUAACCUGCCUGGUAGCGGGGGAUAACUAUUGGAAACGAUAGCUAAUACCGCAUAAUAUUAAUUAUUGCAUGAUAAUUAAUUGAAAGGUGCAAUUGCACCACUACCAGAUGGACCUGCGUUGUAUUAGCUAGUAGGUGAGGUAACGGCUCACCUAGGCGACGAUACAUAGCCGACCUGAGAGGGUGAUCGGCCACACUGGGACUGAGACACGGCCCAGACUCCUACGGGAGGCAGCAGUAGGGAAUCUUCGGCAAUGGACGAAAGUCUGACCGAGCAACGCCGCGUGAGUGAAGAAGGGUUUCGGAUCGUAAAGCUCUGUUGUAAGAGAAGAACGGGUGUGAGAGUGGAAAGUUCACACUGUGACGGUAUCUUACCAGUAAGGGACGGCUAACUACGUG
RNAcentral lists this ribosomal RNA (505 nucleotides) under uncultured bacterium. RNAcentral describes it as "partial 16S ribosomal RNA". It matches the Rfam family "Bacterial small subunit ribosomal RNA", at positions 28 to 507 of the family's 1533-position model. The record is from RNAcentral.